RNAcentral lists this ribosomal RNA (496 nucleotides) under uncultured bacterium. RNAcentral's name for it is "partial 16S ribosomal RNA". It matches the Rfam family "Bacterial small subunit ribosomal RNA", at positions 28 to 507 of the family's 1533-position model. The record is from RNAcentral.
GAUGAACGCUGGCGGCGUGCCUAAUACAUGCAAGUCGAGCGAACGGACGAGAAGCUUGCUUCUCUGAUGUUAGCGGCGGACGGGUGAGUAACACGUGGAUACCUACCUAUAAGACUGGGAUAACUUCGGGAAACCGGAGCUAAUACCGGAUAAUAUUUUGAACCGCAUGGUUCAAAAGUGAAAGACGGUCUUGCUGUCACUUAUAGAUGGGUCCGCGCUGCAUUAGCUAGUUGGUAAGGUAACGGCUUACCAAGGCAACGAUGCAUAGCCGACCUGAGAGGGUGAUCGGCCACACUGGAACUGAGACACGGUCCAGACUCCUACGGGAGGCAGCAGUAGGGAAUCUUCCGCAAUGGGCGAAAGCCUGACGGAGCAACGCCGCGUGAGUGAUGAAGGUCUUCGGAUCGUAAAACUCUGUUAUUAGGGAAGAACAUAUGUGUAAGUAACUGUGCACAUCUUGACGGUACCUAAUCAGAAAGCCACGGCUAACUACGUG